AAAUGGAGCAGACCUGGAUAGAAAGGAGGCUGUUAGAUUGGAUCAAUCUAUGCUUCUGAUGACUUCAAACUGCUGGACAAAAGACAUAUCCUGGCCACACUCCAUUUGACUUGGAAGAAGAUGAUGAGCAUUGAAGAACCUCCAUUUGGAGAUGGCUUCAUUUAUGCCAAGCUCACUACCAGGCAAUGAAAAUGCCCUAACUUCAUCUACAGACAGAAUGCUGUCUAGAAAGGAUGAGUUUAAAUGCAAGAGAGUUGAAUACUGGAUUCUGCUAAGACAAUACACUAUGGCCUUAUGGACUGAAGCUUUGAAUUACAGGGGUGGAAACCGAGAGGACACUGAGGAAAAGAAGGUCCA
Mastomys coucha (southern multimammate mouse) is the source of this 357-nucleotide long non-coding RNA. RefSeq lists it as uncharacterized. The record is from RefSeq and is a predicted model, not a curated record. Lineage: Eukaryota; Metazoa; Chordata; Mammalia; Rodentia; Muridae. The transcript is spliced from 4 exons.